Acinonyx jubatus (cheetah) is the source of this 9903-nucleotide long non-coding RNA. RefSeq lists it as uncharacterized. Lineage: Eukaryota; Metazoa; Chordata; Mammalia; Carnivora; Felidae. The record is from RefSeq and is a predicted model, not a curated record. The transcript is spliced from 3 exons.
AAGAAGGGAUCAUCACUUAGGUUCCCUUCUAGAGCAACAUUGUCAGAGAAUAAUUAAGAUAUUAAAAAACAGUCUUUUCAGGAAAAGUCUAAGAAACCUUCCAGGGUGGUUUUUCCAUUUCUUUCAACUGAUCAAUUAGCCCAAAUAGAAAGCCUCACACAAAGUGAGACAUUUUGUCUUUCAUGACACCUGUGUCGUCUAAGUUGCUCUUUUUGAAAUUCCACAUGCCUGUCAAACCUGCACACUGAUGGUUGACCAAGUUUCCACUCUCACUGCAAAGAGGUAUCUGCGACAUCCUUACAGCUUUAGAAAAUUGUAUUUUACUCUAAAGAGCUACUGUGACACUUGGCAUAGGCACACUAAGGAUCAAGGAAAGCUGAGGUUCUUGACAUUUAAUAUCUGACCUAGGAGGAUUAUCGAGAAGGACUGAGCCACCCCCCCACUGUCAAAAUAUUGAAAUUCUGGCACAAGAAAGAGUGACAUGACUAGGAUUUUUUUUAGGUUCAAAUGAGCACAACUCGGAUGAAGGGUUAGAAGUUACAAGGAGAUGCAUUUCUAGCAAGUGUGAGGGGACCCUUUGUCAGUGGAAGAUGGAAGGAAUGAGCAGCACACGAGAACAUCUCUUGACCAGUAAGCUCACACACCGGGAGGUCAGAAUGGUGAAUCUUUAGCGGCCCCGAGCUGAAAUUCCUGGAUAUGUGGCUGUCACCCUGUACAACGUCACUCCUUUCUCUUCGGUGUGUUUAAUACCCUCUAGUAGACUUGGACCUUGUGUCGGCCUCUGUAUGUUUAGGUAUGUUAAUACAUGGAACGUGCUUAGAAAAGCAUCCACACCUAUGAGCACUCAUUAAAUUUUGGUGAUCUGAGAUGUUAGAAGGUGACGGGAAUCUGAAAAUCUGUCCAAAAUUCUUGCUCAGGUAUGUUCCCAUAUUAGACCUAAUGAAUCAGGGAUUUAGCCAUUCAAAAGCCUAACGUGGUGGCUAGUGAAGGUUGGUCAUAAAGCAAGACCCUCAACGUCACAGGCUUUUGCAGGAAACUACUGGAAAAAGGGCAAGCAAGAAAGUGAAUGCAAGUUUUAUUUUUGUACGGAGCAUCAGUUCCCUUUUGAUUUACAAGAGAAUUCUAUCAUUAGAUUUUUCAAUAAGCUGAAAUCUGAUUUUAUUUACUUGAUUUCGAUUGAGAUCAUCAUUGCAAUGUAUCCAUGCAUUCAGUCUUGGCUGUCCACCAUAUUUCAGGUACCUACAAGAUUCUGGAACUUCAUAUAUAAGUUACAGUACUUGGCUCAUGGACAUGAUUAAGCAAAAUGAAUAAACAGCACUACAAUGUUAUUAAAACAGAGGCCUCAACAAAGUGCAGAGGGCAAUAAAUUCUCCCGGGCCAAUUCAGUUUGGGCGAUAAACGGGUAAAGUAGAGACAUCUGGCCUGAGGGAAGCUUCCAGAAGGAGUUAGGGUGAGUUGAACUUUAAGACGAGAUAAUGUUUUGCCAUGGAGGGAACAGGAGAAGGGCAUUUUAGGGGAUGGUCGAAAGGGAUCCAAAGCUGUGGAAUGUAGCAGUGUCCCGGGUAGACUGAGUUAUCCAGUGGGUUCUCUAGUUGCUACAUGAGGUACGUGGGGACAGUGCGUGGGGAGAUAUCCUGCAAGUUUUAGACUCCAUAUAUACAGGUAUUUUAUUGCUUUCUUAGGGAAGUUUUGACUAUUUACUUAAAUUUAGAGUUUAUACCUCAGGAAAUGGGGAAGCACAGAUUUUAGAGAGCAGAGGAAGCCAUAAAUAGAAAAAUAAAGAUAUCACUUGGUCCCGGCAAGCCAUCAAAGCUUGACUGUGUCUGUGAUAGUGACUCUUCCCACCCCAUCUCUCCCCGCACCCCCCAGGUCCCUUAUUUUCCAAAUUAGAAUCUUUACAUUCUUUGUAAGAAUCCAGGAACUGUUUUCCAUCUUUCAACAAGCUCACGAAAAUGAAGCAUUGCCUGUAAGAUUGAAACCAACGUACUCAUCAAAACAGCAGGACGCUCCUUUUAGUUAUGACUCUUCAGUGAGGACCUUUGGCCACCAAGACCUUUGGGAAGGUCUUCCUUUCGAGAGCAUACAUAGCCCAGGAGUUAUACAUAUGGGUUCAAAUUUAAGCGCCGGCUCUGUCACUUAUGAGCUAUGUGAUGUUGGCCAGCUGAUUUAGCCUCCCGAAGCCUUACUUUCUUUGGUGAACUAAUAGGACACCUUGUAUGUCUAUACCUCUUAUGUAUGUAUAGAGUGUGUCCUACCUACAGAAAUUAAGAAUGCUGCCUAGUACAUCACGACCUCUUAUGUGUCCAUCAGCAUCAUCGGUCACUACUGGUGAAGAAAGCACAGGACAAGAUUUUUGCUCUUUGGGGUCUCUACCAAAGGUCUCUGAGGUCUGCUGUUUCUAGCACUUACCAGCCACGCUCUUGGCAAUCCAGCUUGCCCCCGUGUCUGCUGACGGCUUUGUCUGAGUGCCUCUAAGAUCCCAACUGAUCUCCUUUUUGCCCAGUGCCUUGAUGAGUGGCUUUCCUGAGCCUGGCUGCUUGCCUCUGUCUUGCAAAAGCCAGAGGGAAAUAUUCUCAGUGCCUUUCCCCACCCAGCUCAUUAGUCAACUUCAGGACUUCAAAAGACAUGUUCUGUUUCACUUUGCUGUUUUCUAUAUGUGACACGUAUAUAAAUGUGUUCGAUGCACACUUCCUAUGCUUUGGCAUGGCUUUGGGGAGGCCUAAUGGAGACCAAGUGGUUUCAUGCUUUUUAGUCCUUAUUGCUUAAGAGAACUGAUACAAAGGCCAAGCAAAGAGGUGGUAGGUAUGGGUGACAUUUAAUGUUACAAUCACAUGGCAAGUCUGAAAAUGAUCUCAAAGUUAAUGACCCUGAAUGGCCUUUUCAUAUACAAUAAGCCCCUCUUGAAAAUGGCUUAAGAUUUAACUUUCUAGAAUCGUUGACAACUCGUAUCUAACACUGUUCAUUGUACAGUGUUGGGCAAAUAUGAUGUGAUUCUCUUUGGCUAACAGCCCGUGUACUUUACCGUUCACGUACACUUUCCCAAACUUUCAGAACUGGAAACACAUAAAAAAGUCAGGAAAUCUCACCUGAACAAGCUUUCGUGGGCAGACUUCCGGCCAAUAAUCCUUCCUAUUGCAUAGCAAAUACUCUGAAGCUUAGCUUCAUUUAUAGCACUUUGGCUUUCCUACUGUCUUAGUUGUGACUUCCGUUUGGUUGCUAGUGACAGAAAUGAAAAAGUAAAACACAAUAGUGAUUUGAAGAUAUUGGGAAGUUCUUAGGAGUUUGUUUUCCUCUCCUGUAAAAUACUUCUGGUAUGGAUGCUCCUUGAUGCCAUUAAAGACUUAGGGCUCCUCUGUUUUUGUGUUACACGAUGUAUAGGGUGUAACUGUUAACCUCAUGCUCUCAAGAUGACUGCUGGAAUGCCAGCCAUGGUGUCCAUGUUCAGACUCAGAAAAUGAGAUGUCUAAAGGGCCAAUAUAUGUGCUGAAAGCCUAGUUUUUAAGAGAUUUUCUGAAGUCCUUCCCUUUCACUUCUACUCGCUUCCCCUCAGUCCUAAUACUCUCACAUGAUAUCCUUCAGUUGCAAGGGAGGUUGGAUACAUAUUUGAAUGGGUCCAUUUCCUUCUUCAAUAAAAUUAAUGUUUGUCCGUAAGGAGAGAAUGACUAUUUGGUAGGCAAGUAGCCGUCUCUGACACGUCGACCAUCUUAGCUAGGAUUUUUAAUGAUUCUUUGGUUAAAAGUCAUAAGGGGCAAACGGAAAAGUUAAUUAAGCUUCUAAUUGUAAGCAGAUUUAAAAUAUUUUGUAAUAAUAAAGAGCUAAUUAACCAUACUUCAAUCUACAACAAUACAUUUGAGAAGAUGCGUAUUGGCCUUUGGUUUCCACUAUCCCCUGAGCACUUGUAAUCCUGAGCACAUGGGGUCGCAUUGUAUUCAUUUGUUCUCUUACAGUCUUUCAGUGGAAGUCUGAUGAUAUUUUUUAUCUCAUUAUAAGGAAGAAAAACAUUUGGAUGGGAAGAGAGUAUGCAAACACUGGGUUCCAAGCACAAUGUCUAAAUUUUUUUUAUUGUUUGCCAAUAACGAUUGCGAGUAAGUUCAGUGGUGGAAAAGAAACAGAUACUACAACCUGUGAGGAAAAGUACAGAACGGUGCAUGCAGUGCUUUUCGGUGAUCUUGAAUAAUAGAAUUGUUGCUUCACGUGAAGUCAUACCGAGGAUAUUUAACUAUAGAGCAGCAUGUCUCACGGUGGGUUCGUGAGAGAACCCAGAGAAGUUCGAGAAGGAAGCCAAGACUAGUAAAAACUGACCAUUUCAGAGCAUCGAUUAUCUGCAAAGCUCCAUGGUGGUUGCUGUUCUUUAUUUUAUUUCAUGUAAAUUACACCACACUCAUCAGAAGAGGUAGUGCCUCCUGUCUCGUACAGAAACCUACAUCAAGUGUGUCCUUGAUUUGAACUUGUCUUCUCUCAUUAAUGUUUCCAUUGAUAGAGUCGCACUUGGGCCCAGGUAGCAUAUGAAAAACUUAGGAUUUCAAACCAAAUCAGGCUUUUGGACCUGCCCUAAAUAGCUGUGGUGACUAAUGCUCUUAAAUCCCAUGUUCUUUCCUCGAUACCAGUAAUUCUUAAUCUUUGGUAUACAUUAGAAUUAAUCUCAGGGAAGGAGGCAGUUGGUUAAAAUGCAAACGCUGUGGCCCCCUCCCCGCUUCAGAGAUCUCCAUUUGGCAGAUCUGGGCUGGAUUCCAGUCAUCUGUAUUUUAAACUCUCCUCCCAGAUGACUCUGUGGCCCCGGUAACGUUAAGGAACACAGCUUUUACACCUGUCUGAGUUAUUGAUGUGCACGUCUGCCUUCCUAACUGGACAAGAGGGGGUCUGGUUGAGCGGGCACUGGCCCUUUCUUGUUUUGGGGUUUUGUUUGGUAUAUGAUGGGUGUUCGAAAGUAUUUAGUAGAUUAAUAUUUAAAAAGCGAAGAGACCUCUUGUCGGGUUGAAGCAUAGAAUAUGAGCCAAAACAGAGUUUGUAACAGCACGAACGAGAGGCGAAGGGUCUGUGCCAAGGGAGAAAUCCCCACGAAUGUCUCAUGACCUGUUCUGCUUACCUCCCUAGUACCCCCACCCCUAGCAUAAGUUACCCGGGAGUGAGGCUGGGGUCUGCUGUCGGCUCCUGCAUGCCCAGUGCAUACAACGGUCCCUGGCACACAAUGAAGGGAAUGAAAAAAGAAUUAUGUGAUGGCCUGAGUCACAGCAGGAAGGAGUGAGAGUGGAGGGGAUACAGGCUAGUCUUGAGUAUUGCAGGGCUCAGGGGGCAAAACGCUAAGUUACUCCAACACUUAAUUAGCUAUUUUUAUUAAGUGUCCAAGCCUCCUUCAGUUCAUGCGUGUUUUGCUCCUUUUAUCUCAAGAAAGAUGGCAGAAGUUUGUGUCUUUUGGCUUUGAUCACAUUAUUUCUGGGUUUUGUUACUUAAUAAGGCAGAAGUUUAAAUUAACAUCAUUCUCCGUUGCCUGCUUCUGGGUUAGCUGUACAGUAGGGAGCGUUUUUGGCAAUUUUUCAGUGGAGGAAAGAAAAGGAAACCUCUGUUUGGGAACUGUGGGGAGGAAGGAGGGAAAGCCAUUUACCUGAGCCCCUGGGGUUCCAUCUGCUUCCCAGAAAAGAUUUGCCAUGAAAUCAAGUCACCUGACCCUUGUGGGGGCUACAUUCCGGGGGCAGGUAGAAGGGGGACUGGGCCAAAUCCAGCCUCCAGUCAUCACGGGGGCAAAAAGGGAGGUUCGAAGGUGAAUUCACAGUCACAUCUGUGUUCAGGGCCCUCUCGUGCCUUACAGUGUGGUCAAACAUGCUGUCCGACUGAGCAAAAGCCACCUCUACAGGUCCUCCUUACCAUGUGACUUUGCCCGGGCUCUGAUUCGAGGUCCAUGCCAACGAGAUGUGCAUUUCUUUAUUUUUCCCCUGUCCAUUCCCUCACCAUAAGGAUAGCUUGGUGGUUUUCAGGGCCCGGUAACCCUUGCUGGCUGCACAUUUGGAUCCCUUGAGCCAAAGGUUUGUGGCUGUAUUAAUUGGCCUCAAAGAAAACCUUGCCUUCACUCAAACUGUUUGAAUACCUCUUGUUGAAUCAUAGGCUUGACUCAAGUGUUAUUAAUUCAAGAAUCAGAAUGCCUUUUGUCCAUAUCAGUUAAACGUUGCCAUAGCAAGUGUAGUGUAAACAGAUCUGCUCAAGGCACAACAACCUAUAGAAGCCCACAGACAAAGGAGGACCAGUCUCGCCUUCACAGAAACCCUGGUGCUGCAGUAAAUGUUACCCACUAGCCUGGGGUACUGCCACAUGAGCCAUUGUGCUGAUGAAUGGGCCCUGGGACCCACCGAUCCAGGGAGAAGCCUUUAUCAGUGACUACAUGUUACCACAUGGGAAGCCAGGAUUCUGCGGAAUCCGCUGAAUGGCUACUCGUCAUUGGACACUUUGGCAAUCAAAAGAAUGCAGCCUAGACCUGAGAUCCAGAGCCUGAACCCCAUGAAGAGGGUCACAGGGACAUUUCUUAACGACAUUUAGUUCCUUGCCCCUCCGUCUCAACGUUUCCAUCCGAAAAAUGGGAACUUGUUCCUGCUCAGCACUUCGUAAAUGAAUGCAGGGCAUAGCAUGCCAUUUAUCCAUUCGUGGAGGAGAUGUUCUAUUACAGCAGAGGCAUUUUGCUUUCUUAAACUUGAUUUGGGGGAGGGGAUAUUUAUAUGUAAUCAUUGUAAUGGCAUUUUGAUACUCUCCGGGAAAAAGAAAGUAGUUGAGUGUGGUGUCUAUAUGGAAGUGAAAUACCUCGGUUAUGAUUCCUUUUAUUUUUUUAAUCAAUAAACUAGAGGGAAAGGGAAAUGGAGCUUUAUUUGGUUACUGAAAUUCCUAAUUAAGUUCUUAAUGGCAGAAACAUCUCACGAUGUUCCAAAGUUUCAUUUGGCACAGAGGCAAGUCACUUAGACUCUUUUUUAAACAUCAGGUCAAGAUAUUGGGUUGGACACCUCAGGAAAACAAACUUCCUUAUGAGAGCUCAAAGGUGGAAAAACGUGGAGAGAAGGCCGUCCCUGUGGAAUUCUGAUACAGGCAUUUCCUAUGGGAGCUGAGGUUUGUGAGAAAAUUGACGUUAGCAAGUUCUGGCAGUUAAGCCGCCGAAAAACAGCGGACUGAAGCCACGUCGUGCUUUUUAAAACAUUAAAAGAGGGGUUUGAUGCACGGGUAAACUUCCUCGGUUAUCCUAUGAUUUAUCAAAUGCUGGAAGUCGGAGAAAUCGUUCUGAUUUCUGUGCCUCCGUAGGGUACCAUAAUUUAAUCUAGUUGGUGGCACCAGACGCUGGUAACCACAGCCAGCCAUCAUGGGCAGGGGCUCCAAACAUAUGGCCUGUGCAUUGCCUCUCCAUCUUCUUCCCUCCAUGAAUUAUUUUUAUAUUGGAUGCCAACCUAGAAAAUGCAUGAAUCUUGAUGCACACUGCCAGCCUGUUACCAGCCAGCCCUCCUCCCUCCCCUCCCCCCACCAGAUCAUUGAUCCCUUUACCCUCACAGGCCGGAGUCUCAUGCUGAGCACCAAGCCAGGCGGCACACGAAGUGUGGGCCGGUGGCACCAGGGGACCGUCCUUUCUGCCUCUGACACCCACCGCCCCGGCGCGCCCUGGAUCUCGCCAGCCAUUGUGCUCGGUUUUUCCAAGGCAGCUCUCCGCUGGGCUGCUGUUAGUCACACAGUGACCUGCGGAUCUAAGGGAAAAAACAGAUGUCCCAAUAAAUUUUUGUCAAAACGUAAUUACCUCGGGAUUAGAAAACCACAUGGGGGCGGGGAGGGAAAGGAACAGAUGUAUUACUUUCAAAUAUGCAAUCAUUAUUCUGCAGAAGUUUAAAUAAUCAAGAGCUUUAAAUGAUGCCAGUUGAGAGUGUCCCCGCUCCACUUACUUUUGUCCCCUCCUUUACCUUCAGCCCUGGGCAGCUUGGGAGUCUCUCCUAUUUGCUUUGAGCUAAUGGUGCUCCGAGCAGGAGGGAGCGUGUUGCACAAAGUAUCAUCCUGAGUGCUUUUUCAUAAAUAAAUCUCAGCAAAUAUGACAGGCUAUCUUUCCCCCAGGAACCUGGCCAAGUCUUUUCUUCCUCUCCAGCCGACAAAAUAUGAUAAACUAUGAAUUUUCCCAGUAACCAUAAAAGAUUCUGAGUUCCAUGAUUUGAACUGUUAAGGUGCAGGUCAAGGCAGUAUAUCUAAUAGGAAUUCUUGCGGGGAAAAUCCUUUUUCUGUUUUCAGUUUUCAUGUUUGGUCGAGUGGGAGGGUGUGCCGGGUACCGAUCGAAGAUUCAUUGGGUUAUUUGUUAGCUGGUUGUCAUGGGCCCCUUAAGGUGAGAUGUUAAUCUCUUUUAAGUAUGCGUCCAUAGGCUUCAAGGAGGGAUCCAGUGGAUGAGACACAUGAGGCCCCAAAUGGACUAAAUUCAAGGAGUUGUUGUUGCUUCGGGUCGGUUCAUGGAUUGCACCCCCUUUCGGUGGAAAUGAAUGGGUCUACAGUCCGUCCUCAAAACAACUGUACGUGGCACAGGGGCCAAGCAGCUCUUCUGCACUCUUGGAUUAUGAAAAUUCUAGCUAUGAUUUUAGGGCUUUUAUCUUGAUAGAAAAAAUGGUUUUUACCUGUGACAUGGAAGUUGGUGUUCAGAAGAGUUACCAAUUAUCCAGAGUCUGCUAACAGCAGAGGUGCUGCUAAGUCCUUUACAUGUGAACUCCUGAUCUCUCAGAGGUCUCGUAAAGGAGGCACUGUCACUCCACUUUAGAGAUGGGGUAACUGGGGCGCAAAGAGGUUAAAUACCUUGCCCUAUUCCCGAAAGCUGGUAAAUGACAGAACCCAAAUUUGAAUCGAUGUCUAAAUGUAUACAAAGACUUCAUUGAUCCAUUGUCUUGUUAUGCCUUGGGAGAAUCUUCAUCUUGCAUACGACAUAACUAAAUAUGCUCUGAGAAUGGAAAUCAUAAACCAAAGAACAGCUCGUGUUACGCCGUCCUGGCCAUGAUAUAUACAUUUUCUGCAAGAAGGAGUCAUUUGUAAUUGAGCCGCUAUACUUCCCUUUGCUGAAAGGUAAGCUGAUUGUAAGUUAGGCUCUUUGUAUCUUGCGAUUUUAGCCCAUUACAAUUGGCCCAAAGCUAACCACACAUAUCUGGACAUGAAAGAGUUAAAAAGAAAAUCCCCAGCAAGCCAGUAUGCAGAGAAGUGUUGAUUCCAGCUGCUUCAGGGGGUAUCUGCUAGAGGGAGUCAGUCAGGAAACAACCACAGGAAAAGGAAUUUUGCAAGAUGGGGGUGUCUUCCUGUUAGCCAUCAGCCUGAAAGGAGUCUUUUCCUACCUAAAUCCAGAGAGGUUUAUAAAACUCCACACUCCGCGCGGCAGCACGGAGAAAGGGACAUUUUGCGGGGAGAACUGAAAGGGCACUUUUGCCCUGGAAGAAGCGACUCCUUUGGAGAAUCUGACAUGAUGUGGAUUUGUAAAGCAGCAAAUAGAGGAGGCCACAGCAGUUGCAGUUGGGGAGGUUCAGAAGGCUGAAGUCGGUUCCUAGCCCUUAUUUCGAGGAAGGAUGAGUCCAACAUGAGACUUUGAUACAGGCAAAGUUGUUCAAAGGGCGAUGUACAACUGUCAACAUGAGAAAAGGAGAAAGCCUUGGCCAGGUCUGGGACAAAGGCUUUCUGCCCACUGACAAAGACUCUCCUGGAUCAGACUGAGCCCUUUUUUUGACUAGGCCUUGACAUUGGGUUCUGUCCUCGUUCUGGUUUAGUCCAGUCAUAGGAAGAAUCCUGCUGAGUCUGUUAACGAUAAAUCCCCUACCCUUGAUAUGUGGUGGUCACCCUUUUCCUGAUGAAAUUCUUCACUACCACCCACGCUGGCUAUCUUAUCAACAGUCCUGUUGAAUUGGUUGUGCAAGAAUCCCCAGCCUCAAU